Long non-coding RNA from Xiphophorus couchianus (Monterrey platyfish), 602 nucleotides. RefSeq lists it as uncharacterized. The record is from RefSeq and is a predicted model, not a curated record. NCBI's taxonomy places the organism in Eukaryota, Metazoa, Chordata, Actinopteri, Cyprinodontiformes, Poeciliidae. The transcript has 3 exons.
CUUCAGAAGGGAGAGCCAGACUUUCCUCUCCCCAGCCACUUGUUCCAGCUCCUCCGGGGGUAUCCGAAGGCGUUCCCAUCUAUAUAUAUGUAACGGGUAUUGGAUAUACAUAUGAAAUUCUUGCUAAAAGAAUUUUUAUAAUGUUUUAUAAUUGCCCUGUGAUUGGUGGGUUUUGGCGCCCCCUACUGGUUGCCUAUAAAUGCGAAGGGAAACCAAAAAUUCCACACAGUCUGUUCAGCUCUCUGUUAUGUACACAGAGUGACUAGUGGACCAGUACGGAAGCUCACUGCGCUUUUUGUGUUUUGUUGACCACCAUUUCAGAAUCAGUCGUUGGAUAAAAGGAGUGGGACGAGACGGUGUGGAAACAAACAGAAACCAGACUGAACUCUGAGGUCAUGUCUGUAUGAAGGCAGCAGUGACAGUGGAUGUGCCGCCGCUGUGGGCUACGCUCAGCUUAGAUUUGCAUAAGGACGCAACUGGGUUUUCAGUAGUUUUGUUUAUAACAAACAAUAGAGUUAGGCAUUUGUGCUCAAGCAUUUUUUCUAAAGUGUUAUGUGUUUGUGUUGAACCAUCACAUAGCUUCAAUAAAAUGCUAAAUAUUU